This 257-nucleotide long non-coding RNA is filed under the name Elaeis guineensis (African oil palm). Its description in RNAcentral is "long non-coding RNA (EGUI_LNC047438)". Lineage: Eukaryota; Viridiplantae; Streptophyta; Magnoliopsida; Arecales; Arecaceae. The record is from RNAcentral.
AUGCCAACACGCGCACGAUUUCUUUUCUUUGCUCCAAGAGUCCUCAUUCAAGAGGACUCUUGAUUUUUGGCAUUAACUUGAAAUGUUUGCACCCCUUUUUGGGUUGCUUCCAGGUGGCAUGAUCUGACCUAAUUGCUCACUAAAUUGGGUUAGCAAAUUAGCAAGGCAUGAGACCAAAUUGAUCUCCCAAAGAGCUAGUGUUUCCACACGUGCUAGCAUGCUUAUCGGGAACCUAAUUGGAUCUAAAAUUCCAAUCA